UACCGUCCUCCACUUUAGGAGCUCACUCUGUGACGUCAUGGCCGGUCACUACCAGUGUUAUGUUUUUUUUAAUAAUAUUGUUUUGACAACAUAAUUCCUGUAACAACAAGGGAAGCCAAAGUUAUACAAAGUGGACGAACGAUGGGCUUCAUAUGCGAAGACUGUGCACGGUUUGUGAACCUAAUGAAAGAGUGAUUAAUUUGUGGACAGACAAAUAACGCUUUAUGACGCAAUUCAUAGUGAAAAUAUUACUAAAUAAAUAAAACGGGCGCAUGUUGCUGCCGGUAGACCCGUGUCGCCGGCUACUUGUGACGUCUGUGCUGGCCCCUGGCAGCGGCCGCCCGCAAUGCUGGCCACUGCCCCACGGGGCACUGACUCUGGAUCAGUGGAGCACAGUGCGGCUCGUGUUCUCGUCGAAGGAAGCAGUUGGUGCACGUGGGUGGCGGAUACUCGCUCGGCGAGUCACUUGUAUGGAUGACGGUCUGUCUGUGUUCGGGGCUGCUACGAGGCAAGGCGGGGCUGUCCUGUAUUAACUGUCCGCUGGCUGCUGGAUGACUUGAACUGCAGCUGGCUACUCGCUCGCGAGGCGAGUGGCUUUAUGAAGUGGCGUGAAAUAUGCCUGUGACGCAAGUUUCCAGAAGCCUGGCUCCAGUGCCGUGCAAGUGUGAUGGAUGUGGCAAUCAAAUCAAACGAACAGACGCUCUGAAAAUACAUGAAGAGACAUGUAAAGGACUGGUUUAGUAAACCUUGUGAAAUCGAAUGAAUGAAUUUAAAUUAUAGGUAUUGUGUAUGCUAGGUUUUUGUAGUA
Molecule: long non-coding RNA, 808 nt
Organism: Bacillus rossius redtenbacheri
Lineage: Eukaryota; Metazoa; Arthropoda; Insecta; Phasmatodea; Bacillidae
Exons: 3
Source: RefSeq, a predicted model, not a curated record